UGGUUUGCACUUUAUACGGGCAGGCUUGAUUCGGUAGGGGAGACUGGAAUUCCUGGUGUAGCGGUGAAAUGCGCAGAUAUCCGGAGGAACACCGGUGGCGAAGGCGGGUCUCUGGGCCGAUACUGACGCUGAGGAGCGAAAGCGUGGGGAGCGAACAGGAUUAGAUACCCUGGUAGUCCACGCUGUAAACGUUGGGCGCUAGGUGUGGGGGGCCUCUCCGGUUCUCUGUGCCGUAGCUAACGCAUUAAGCGCCCCGCCUGGGGAGUACGGCCGCAAGGCUAAAACUCAAAGGAAUUGACGGGGGCCCGCACAAGCGGCGGAGCAUGCGGAUUAAUUCGAUGCGACGCGAAGAACCUUACCUGGGUUUGACAUGGCCGUUAAAGCCGCAGAUAUGUGUUGUCCUUCGGGGGCGGUCACAGGUGGUGCAUGGCUGUCGUCAGCUCGUGUCGUGAGAU
This 455-nucleotide ribosomal RNA is filed under the name uncultured actinomycete. RNAcentral describes it as "bacterial SSU rRNA". It matches the Rfam family "Bacterial small subunit ribosomal RNA", at positions 617 to 1073 of the family's 1533-position model. Lineage: Bacteria; Bacillati; Actinomycetota; Actinomycetes; Actinomycetales. The record is from RNAcentral.